RNAcentral lists this small RNA (95 nucleotides) under Arabidopsis thaliana (thale cress). Its description in RNAcentral is "ATSL191480". The record is from RNAcentral. Lineage: Eukaryota; Viridiplantae; Streptophyta; Magnoliopsida; Brassicales; Brassicaceae.
CGAGAGAGAGAGAGAGAGAGAGAGAGAGAGAGAGAGUUCACGUCCCAUUGAAUUUGAAAGCUACUUUAGUUAUUGUUCUUGUUUUGUGUAUGUGU